ACAGCCCCAUGAGCAGCGGAGUCAGAUGCACUGCUUCUGUUUUAGGAGGAAACUGAGGCCCAGAGAGGUUAAGGACCAGCCCCGCAGCACAGAGCUGGAAAGUAGCCAUGCACAGCUGCACACAUUGGCACACACCAGUCUCUGCAUGGUGACUGGUCAGGACAGAGAUGGAGACGGAGCUUUCAGAUUGUUUUGAGGAUAAAGCCUCAGUUAAAUCCUGGCCUGUCACUGACACCUUUCCACACCUGCUCUCUCCAGUGAAGAACAGAUCUCAGGCUCAGAUCUUUGGGCAGCAGCAGCUAGCGAAGCUCUUUACCAAGAACAUCAGCCAUGACGUAUGCUGGGAGCACUGUGCUGUACACCAGGCCAGGCCUAAACUUCCAUUCCAGAUGAAGCAGGCUCUGUAGGAGAAUAGGUGACAAGAGGGCAUAGCCUGGCCAAGAGAGAGCUAUCUUCCUCCCGGUCCAUUCAUUAGAAAACCAGCAGACCUUAGCUACUCUCCCGGCUCUGGUUACAGACCAACCCCUUAUAUCUCCUCCUGCACUUCCCUCAUCUUUACCACUAUAAAUAAAUGUGCCGCGGUUUCCUGGUGGUCUUUUUCUCUCAUCAGGAGUAAAAGCUCCACCUGACCCCACCUUUUGUCCAUUUUUUUUCUUAAUCUCCCACUGUCAUUUCUUACUCUGUGGACCCUUCAGCCAUGUGAGCUGUGGAACAUGUGGCCCUCCCCACCCUGCAAACAGCCCUGAUCUGAGCUCUGUCCCCCUCCAUAGCCACUUAAUAACUACUUGUUAAAGGAACAGAUGAAUGAAUGAACGCAUAGAAGGGCCUUUCCAGAAGAGUCCCCGGAGAGUAUUUCCUUUAUCUUAAUAAGAGCAGCCAAUCUGAUGAGCUUCCUUAGUGCCUCAAUCGUGCCAAGAGCAUCACAUACACCUGCUCAUUUAGGACUUCAAAGCCUGGCAGGGUGGGUACUGGUUUCCCCAGCGUCAGACCCCAGAGAAGACAAGUACUUGCCAAAGUCACACUAGGAGUCCAGCAGCAGAAGAUCCAACCCCAAUUUCCAGGUUGGUCUGUGCUUUCGACCCCCACCCCUAACGCCCAUCGUUGGGGUGCACCUUGUCCAAAGAGCAGCGGUGGGGUGCUUGAGAGACUUCUCACUGUCUU
Long non-coding RNA from Fukomys damarensis (Damara mole-rat), 1161 nucleotides. RefSeq lists it as uncharacterized. NCBI's taxonomy places the organism in Eukaryota, Metazoa, Chordata, Mammalia, Rodentia, Bathyergidae. The record is from RefSeq and is a predicted model, not a curated record. The transcript has 3 exons.